UCAAAGAAUCUCAAUUUGCCAUCUUGCUUCAUUUACAAACUUUUGUAAAAGACGGUCUUACAGGAAAGACCGCCUCAAUGGCACAUUAACUGCCACACAAGCUGCCAGGUGAAAUGCUGACGUCAGCAUCAAAAAAUAAAAAUAUAUAUAAUAUUUAUGUUUUUUUUUCAUUUCAUUUUCCAAAACCUAAUUCGUUUCUUUCUCUCUCCUAAAUUCUCUUCCCCUCUCUCUCUCCUAAAGGAAGAAUUGCUCCUCUCUCCUCCGUAACAAAAGGAUCGGUGGCGAUGGUGGAACUGCCGAUCUUUCGGCGGCGUCAGGCUUAAUUUUCGGACCUCCACCGCGCCUCGUGUCGGAUUAUCGUCAUUUACCGUCAAAGCGGCUGCAGGUACGGUGGUUUUCGUCGACAAGUCCGAAGCGGAGACGAUUGUUUUGAAGUUCAGGAUACUCGAAGCCGCCAGCGCCUCCUUGCCACCUCCAUAAUCAAACCGCCGGAAACUUCAGGUAGCGAGCAGUGGUGAUAGAGGUAGAAGAUCGUUUGCGGUGCGACACGGAAAAUAAUUUCCUCAACCAUGUCAAUCGUCGUCUCCGUCGUCUCCGUCGUCUCUGUCGUCGUUCGAUUCAACUCGCUCUUGUUGAUAUAUGGUUGCUUGUUGAGGCCUGAGUUCCUCAUCUUUCUGAAAAAACAGUGUGCAAACUAGCUCCAUUUUGUUGGUGUUGCGGCGGUGGCGGAUGUGACUUGCUGUUGGUUGUGCGGUGUUGUUGGUGGUGUUCGAAUGUUUGAACAAAUUGCAGAAAUAAGUUUGAUAUUUGAAAGAUUAUGUGGUUGUUGUUGGUAGGUUAUGAUGAUGUUGUUGUUGGAUGCACUAUACAAUCAAUGAUGUAGACAUGUAGUAGUGCUGCUGAUGCUUUGUUGGAUGUCCCUUAGAUGCCUUGACAGAGGUGAAGUUCAGGAUGGCAGCUUGGUAGCCUCUUCGUUCGUUCAUCUCCAGAUUUAGUUAAUGAUUUAUGUAAUAAUUUUAGUUAAUUUCGUGUAAGCUAUGUUUAAUUUUGUUUUAAGUUGAGAAAAAAUCCAUUUUAGUUAAGAUAUAAAGUUGUUUAGUUAUUUUUUUGUAUUUACCUCAAUUUUUAUAAUUUGUAUUUUGGUGUUG
This is a long non-coding RNA of Spinacia oleracea (spinach), 1148 nucleotides long. RefSeq lists it as uncharacterized. NCBI's taxonomy places the organism in Eukaryota, Viridiplantae, Streptophyta, Magnoliopsida, Caryophyllales, Amaranthaceae. The transcript is spliced from 3 exons. The record is from RefSeq and is a predicted model, not a curated record.